GACGAACGCUGGCGGCGUGCCUAAUACAUGCAAGUUGAGCGCUGAAGGUUGGUACUUGUACCAACUGGAUGAGCAGCGAACGGGUGAGUAACGCGUGGGGAAUCUGCCUUUGAGCGGGGGACAACAUUUGGAAACGAAUGCUAAUACCGCAUAAAAACUUUAAACACAAGUUUUAAGUUUGAAAGAUGCAAUUGCAUCACUCAAAGAUGAUCCCGCGUUGUAUUAGCUAGUUGGUGAGGUAAAGGCUCACCAAGGCGAUGAUACAUAGCCGACCUGAGAGGGUGAUCGGCCACAUUGGGACUGAGACACGGCCCAAACUCCUACGGGAGGCAGCAGUAGGGAAUCUUCGGCAAUGGACGAAAGUCUGACCGAGCAACGCCGCGUGAGUGAAGAAGGUUUUCGGAUCGUAAAACUCGGUUGGUAGAGAAGAACGUUGGUGAGAGUGGAAAGCUCAUCAAUUGACGGUAACUACCCAGAAAGGGACGGCUAACUACGUG
RNAcentral lists this ribosomal RNA (497 nucleotides) under uncultured bacterium. RNAcentral's name for it is "partial 16S ribosomal RNA". It matches the Rfam family "Bacterial small subunit ribosomal RNA", at positions 28 to 507 of the family's 1533-position model. The record is from RNAcentral.